GACGAACGCUGGCGGCGUGCUUAACACAUGCAAGUCGAACGGUGAAAGCGGAGCUUGCUCCGCUGGAUCAGUGGCGAACGGGCGAGUAACACGUGGGCAACCUGCCCCUCACUUCGGGAUAACUCCGGGAAACCGGGGCUAAUACCGGAUAUGACCUCCUUGGGCAUCCUUGGAGGUGGAAAGUUUUUCGGUGAGGGAUGGGCCCGCGGCCUAUCAGCUUGUUGGUGAGGUAGUGGCUCACCAAGGCGACGACGGGUAGCCGGCCUGAGAGGGCGACCGGCCAAACUGGGACUGAGACACGGCCCAGACUCCUACGGGAGGCAGCAGUGGGGAAUAUUGCGCAAUGGGCGAAAGCCUGACGCAGCAACGCCGCGUGCGGGAUGACGGCCUUCGGGUUGUAAACCGCUUUCAGCAGGGAAGAAGCCGCAAGGUGACGGUACCUGCAGAAGAAGCACCGGCUAACUACGUGCCAGCCGCCGCAGUAA
This 485-nucleotide ribosomal RNA is filed under the name uncultured bacterium. RNAcentral describes it as "partial 16S ribosomal RNA". It matches the Rfam family "Bacterial small subunit ribosomal RNA", at positions 28 to 523 of the family's 1533-position model. The record is from RNAcentral.